Coffea eugenioides is the source of this 534-nucleotide long non-coding RNA. RefSeq lists it as uncharacterized. The record is from RefSeq and is a predicted model, not a curated record. The transcript is spliced from 3 exons. Lineage: Eukaryota; Viridiplantae; Streptophyta; Magnoliopsida; Gentianales; Rubiaceae.
UGUUGCAGGAUUACUGAAGUUUUGUUAUGCCAAUGGCUAUCAUAUACAUAUUAGGAGAUGAACACAAGGACUAUAAUAAAUAGAGCCAUCCAUCCACAUUGCACUGGGUGUUCAUGAUUGUAACUCAAAUUACACUCUCAACAAGGAAAAAACUUGGUUGGGGCUUCAACUAUGAUAUUGAAGGAUGGGCUGAUACUUACAUCUAAAAAGGAGAAAGCUUAUGGUGUAGAUUUAUCAUGGGACUUCUAAGGCAUUCAAAACCUAGGCUCAAGUGCAAUUUGGCUCAGUUUGUGUUGCUGAUGGCGACUGACAAGUGACCUCAUAGUUGUUUAUGCUUAAUGAAGUGAAUUUCUGUUGCAUGUAAUCGUUAUAGCAAGUGUCAAAAUAGAGAAAUGUAACAUAAUAGUCUUCUUUUUAGCUACUAAGGCAAACUGUAUAUGCUGCCUAUGUGAAAAGGGUGCAAGUUUUCUCAUACUAUAUGUAUCUAGCUUUCUUUGACAAGUUUGUGAUUAUUUGAGGCCGUAUAUUAGUUUU